ACGGCCAUACCACAUUGAAAACACCGGUUCUCGUCUGAUCACCGAAGUUAAGCAAUGUCGGGCCCGGUCAGUACUUGGGAGGGUGACCACCUGGGAACACGGGGUGCUGUGGGCU
RNAcentral lists this ribosomal RNA (115 nucleotides) under Cordylochernes scorpioides. The record is from RNAcentral. Lineage: Eukaryota; Metazoa; Arthropoda; Arachnida; Pseudoscorpiones; Chernetidae.